Molecule: ribosomal RNA, 301 nt
Filed under: uncultured bacterium
Lineage: Bacteria
Description: partial 16S ribosomal RNA
Rfam family: Bacterial small subunit ribosomal RNA
Source: RNAcentral
CAGUAGCCACGGUAAACCGGAGGGGGCUAGCGUUGUUCGGAAUUACUGGGCGUAAAGCGCACGUAGGCGGCUUGGUAAGUUAGAGGUGAAAGCCCGGAGCUCAACUCCGGAAUUGCCUUUAAGACUGCCGAGCUAGUAGGUGAGAGAGGUAAGUGGAAUUCCGAGUGUAGAGGUGAAAUUCGUAGAUAUUCGGAAGAACACCAGUGGCGAAGGCGGCUUACUGGCUCAUUCUAGACGCUGAGGUGCGAAAGCGUGGGGAGCAAACAGGAUUAGAUACCCCUGUAGUCCCUGUCUCUUAUAC